RNAcentral lists this ribosomal RNA (428 nucleotides) under uncultured Acidobacteriota bacterium. RNAcentral's name for it is "bacterial SSU rRNA". It matches the Rfam family "Bacterial small subunit ribosomal RNA", at positions 355 to 776 of the family's 1533-position model. The record is from RNAcentral. Lineage: Bacteria; Pseudomonadati; Acidobacteriota.
UGGGGAAUUUUGGGCAAUGGGCGAAAGCCUGACCCAGCAACGCCGCGUGAAGGAUGAAAUCCCUCUGGGAUGUAAACUUCGAAAGUCGGGAAAGAAAUCGCCAUGGUUAAUAACUGUGGUGGAUGACGGUACCCGACGUAAGCCCCGGCUAACUACGUGCCAGCAGCCGCGGUAAUACGUAGGGGGCAAGCGUUGUUCGGAAUUACUGGGCGUAAAGGGCGCGUAGGCGGCAUGGCAAGUCGGGAGUGAAAGCCCGGGGCUCAACCCCGGAACUGCUUUCGAAACUGCCAAGCUAGAGUACGGAAGGGGCAACUGGAAUUCCCAGUGUAGCGGUGAAAUGCGUAGAUAUUGGGAAGAACACCGGAGGCGAAGGCGGGUUGCUGGGCCGAUACUGACGCUGAGGCGCGAAAGCCAGGGGAGCAAACGGG